Molecule: long non-coding RNA, 492 nt
Organism: Leptinotarsa decemlineata (Colorado potato beetle)
Lineage: Eukaryota; Metazoa; Arthropoda; Insecta; Coleoptera; Chrysomelidae
Source: RefSeq, a predicted model, not a curated record
ACCACUUACCAACCACUAGCAGUCUUUGGUGAACAGAACAGUGAUCAAUCAGGCCGAAAAUGUCACGUUCCUUCGAUAUCUUCUACUUGAACGAUUUUUCAGCCGUACCUUCACAAACGGAAAGACAAGAAUACCCGAGUUCUGGACGAAAACGUCUCUGGAAAAAUGUAAAACUGGUUCUCAUCUCUUUAUGGGUAGUUCUCUUCAUACUCUUCAUCCUGUUUGCAAUCACACACAUAACAAUCCAUAUCUAUAGAGAAAUUCAGUUGAAGAAAUUCACCAAUGGAACUUAUAACAACCCAGGAAAGAUGGAUAAUGACACUGAAAUCCAUCAUUAACUGGUUUCUCUAUUGCAAAAUAUUACUUUUUGAAAGCUGUUCGGAUUUAAUGGGUUCUACAAAACGACGACUAAGCAUAAUAUAAACAAUUCCAAUGUAGACUAUUAUAAACAGCUUGUUUUCAUAUUGAUAAGUGUCAGUUAUUAAAGCAUUG